AGGUAGCGAAAUUCCUUGUCAGGUAAGUUCUGACCCGCACGAAAGGCGUAAUGAUUUGAACACUGUCUCAACAAUGUACCCGGCGAAAUUGUAGUACUAGUGAAGAUGCUAGUUACCUGCGACAAGACAGAAAGACCCCAUGGAGCUUUACUGCAGCUUGAUACUGGGUUUUGGUAAUUUAUGUACAGGAUAGGUGGGAUACUAAGAAGCAAGUGCGCCAGCAUUUGUGGAGUAGACGUUGGGAUACCACUCUUAAAUUAUUGAAAUUCUAACCUGUGAUCAUGAACUGGUCAGGGGACAAUGUCAGGCGGGCAGUUUGACUGGGGCGGUCGCCUCCUAAAGAGUAACGGAGGCGCCCAAAGGUUUCCUCAGCACGGACAGAAAUCGUGCGAAAGAGUGUAAAGGCAGAAGGAAGCUUAACUGGGAGACUGACAAGUCGAGCAGAUACGAAAGUAGGGCUUAGUGAUCCGGCGGUAGUGAGUGGAAAUGCCGUCGCUCAACGGACAAAAGUUACCCUGGGGAUAACAGGCUUAUCUCCCCCAAGAGUUCACAUCGACGGGGAGGUUUGGCACCUCGAUGUCGGCUCAUCGCAUCCUGGAGCUGAAGUCGGUUCCAAGGGUUGGGCUGUUCGCCCAUUAAAGCGGUACGCGAGCUGGGUUCAGAACGUCGUGAGACAGUUCGGUCCUUAUCUGUCGCAGGCGUAGGAUAUUUGAAGGGAGCUGUCCUUAGUACGAGAGGACCAGGAUGGACAUACCGAUGGUGUAUCAGUUGUCACACCAGUGGCACGGCUGAGUAGCUAAGUAUGGAAGGGAUAAACGCUGAAAGCAUCUAAGUGUGAAGCCCACCUUAAGAUAAGAUAUCCCAUUGCGUAAGCAAGUAAGAUCCCAUGAAGACUACAUGGUAGAUAGGUUGGGGGUGUAAGUACAGUAAUGUAUUAAGCUGACCAAUACUAAUAGAUCGAGGGCUUAACCAC
RNAcentral lists this ribosomal RNA (973 nucleotides) under human gut metagenome. Its description in RNAcentral is "bacterial LSU rRNA". It matches the Rfam family "Bacterial large subunit ribosomal RNA", at positions 1954 to 2925 of the family's 2925-position model. The record is from RNAcentral.